UAGACCGGACGUCUUCACUUUUCACAUCUUAAUUUUUGAGUGUCCCGUUAUUGUAAUAAUGAUGUUUUUAUGUCGCAACUAGAUAUAUUAUAUGUAUUAACCACCACUUGACUAUAUUCGGAUUAAUUCAACGCUGCCGAACCUUG
Caenorhabditis elegans is the source of this 146-nucleotide non-coding RNA. NCBI's taxonomy places the organism in Eukaryota, Metazoa, Nematoda, Chromadorea, Rhabditida, Rhabditidae. The record is from Ensembl.